This 253-nucleotide ribosomal RNA is filed under the name uncultured bacterium. RNAcentral's name for it is "partial 16S ribosomal RNA". It matches the Rfam family "Bacterial small subunit ribosomal RNA", at positions 524 to 776 of the family's 1533-position model. The record is from RNAcentral.
UACGUAGGGACCGAGCGUUGUCCGGAAUUAUUGGGCGUAAAGAGCUCGUAGGCGGUUCGUCGCGUCGGCUGUGAAAACCCGGAGCUCAACUCCGGGCCUGCAGUCGAUACGGGCGGACUGGAGUGUUGCAGGGGAGACUGGAAUUCCUGGUGUAGCGGUGAAAUGCGCAGAUAUCAGGAGGAACACCGAUGGCGAAGGCAGGUCUCUGGGCAUUAACUGACGCUGAGGAGCGAAAGCAUGGGGAGCGAACAGG